Sus scrofa (pig) is the source of this 413-nucleotide non-coding RNA. The record is from RefSeq and is a predicted model, not a curated record. Lineage: Eukaryota; Metazoa; Chordata; Mammalia; Artiodactyla; Suidae.
CCCCCUUACCUUGGCCUGGCAUUUCCGAUGACAGGAGAAGCUGCAGACUGCAAGAGGGCGAGACACAGAAAGAAAGUUUAGCCGCGAGCCGGCCUCCGCUUCUUCCCCAGCGGCGAAGAGACCUUCACAGCACCCACCUGCCCACCAGGACUCACAGCCCUCCCCUGCCUUGCUUCUUUCCACGGCCUGGCCUGGAGGUGGGUCUUGUCCAAUCAGUUGAAGGCCCGAACCACAAAGAUUGAUCUCCCCCAGCAAGAAGAAAUGCUGCCAGCAUUGGGACUUGAACUGCAGCUCCUCCCCGGGUUUCCAACCUAAUAGUCUGCCCUGCAGAUUUUGGACUUGCCUAGUCUCUGCAAUCAUGUGAGUCAAUUCCUUAAAAUAAAUACCUGUCUAUCUACCUACCUACUCACUUA